AACUCUGAGCGAUGGAUCACUCGGCUCAUGCGUUGAUGAAGAACACAGCUAGCUGUGGGAAUUAAUGUGAAUUGCAGGACACAUUGAACAUCGACACUUCAAACGCACUUUGCAGCCCCGGGUUACUCCCAGGGCUACUCCUGUCUGAGGGUCG
This is a ribosomal RNA of Protopterus annectens (West African lungfish), 154 nucleotides long. RefSeq annotates it as 5.8S ribosomal RNA. The transcript has a single exon. The record is from RefSeq and is a predicted model, not a curated record. NCBI's taxonomy places the organism in Eukaryota, Metazoa, Chordata, Ceratodontiformes, Protopteridae.